AUGGCAUUGGUUCUACGAUACGUGAGUGGUGGGCUGUCGUAUGAGAGGUUUGUAGGUGUUGUUCACAUUGAGGAGACUACAACUACCUUUCUCAAGUCCAAAAUUGAUUUUAUGAUUGCAAAGUUUGGUUUGAGUUUAAAACAAGUGAGAGGACAAGGGUAUGACAGUGCAAGCAACAUGGCAGCCAUUGCAAAGAAAAUUACUGAUGUUGGAGAUUUGUAUGAUAUGAUAUCACUUAUGGUGACUGUUGUUGGAUCAUCUAAGAGAAAGAAUAAACUUAGAGUGGAUCAUCAAGAAGAAGUGAGGAAAGCAAUUGGUAAGGGUGAGAUUGCUACAGGAACUGGACUAAAUCAAGAGCUUUCUCUUCAAAGGCCAGGAGAUACUAGAUGGAACUCUCACUAUAGAACUUUGGAAGGUUUGUCAAAGAUGUUUCCAUCGGUGGUUAAAGUGCUAGAAUAUGUUGAGGAAGAUGGUACUGAUCCUAUUAAGAAACGUCCAGCCAGUGGGAUUCUGAAAUAUUUUCAAUCAUUUGAUUAUGUAUUCUAUCUGCACAUGAUGAUGAUUAUAUUAGCUUUAACAAAUGGGCUAUCUAAAACAUUUCAGAGAAAGGAUAUGGACAUUGUUCAUGCCAUAUCAGAUGUGGAAUCUACUAAGAGAGAGCUACUAAAGCUUAGAUCUGAGCAUGGUUGGAAUGAUCUUGUAGACAAGGUACGUUCUUUUUGUGAGAAGAAUGACAUUUUAGUGAUGGACAUGGAAAAUGAUUAUGUGAAUCCAAAGAAGGUAAGGCAAAGGACCGAUAUUAACAAUGAGCAUCAUUAUCGGAUUGAUUGUUUCUUUGCUGUCCUAGAUAUGUUGGUAGAAGAGUUAAAUGGAAGAUUCAAUGUUAUCAAUUCUGAGUUACUUUGUUGUAUGUCAGCUUUGAGUUCAAGUGAUCAGUUCGGUCACUACAAUGUUGACAAGUUGAAGAAAUUGGCUUAG
RNAcentral lists this ribosomal RNA (978 nucleotides) under Triticum aestivum (bread wheat). RNAcentral's name for it is "partial small subunit ribosomal RNA". Lineage: Eukaryota; Viridiplantae; Streptophyta; Magnoliopsida; Poales; Poaceae. The record is from RNAcentral.